This 183-nucleotide long non-coding RNA is filed under the name Monodelphis domestica (gray short-tailed opossum). Its description in RNAcentral is "lncRNA (ENSMODG00000035244.2)". Lineage: Eukaryota; Metazoa; Chordata; Mammalia; Didelphimorphia; Didelphidae. The record is from RNAcentral.
CAGUGUGACACUUCCUCCCCCUUCCCCCAAGCUGAACUGUUAGCAAUGGAGUCAGUCUGGCUAGACUAAAGGAGGCUAAUGACCUUGUCAGCUGGGAAAUGGAACUAUUGGUAACUCCUUGGAAGUAAUGGUCACCCUUGACCCUAAUCCAGGAGCUUCGGAAUCCAGAUAUGUGAUUUUGUU